Homo sapiens (human) is the source of this 1636-nucleotide long non-coding RNA. NCBI's taxonomy places the organism in Eukaryota, Metazoa, Chordata, Mammalia, Primates, Hominidae. The record is from Ensembl.
GCGACGCCCGAGGACCCGACGGAGCUACACCCGCUAGUUCAGCCAGGAGGCCCUGCGCGGCUCCGGGGAGAGCUGGGUGGUUAUGCCACCUCAUUAGACACAUUGGUGGACGAUGCCGCGGAUUAGCGGGUUGGCUCUCAGGGCGGGGCGCAGGCUUUCUCACUGAUCCGGGAGCGUGGGAGCAGGGGCAACGCGGGGCCAUCCGGGAGCUGCCCGCCUGCUUCGCAGUUGGCUUUCCGGGCCCUCGAGCAACGUCUGACUUUGCCCUUUGUUUUUAAACACCAUGCAGGAUGGUUUGUGUACAAACGAAGCCGUGUCACUUCUCAAGUGUCGGUGCUCAACGUGGCAACGCCCCUCCCGCCCCCAGUACAGAGAUCCUGCCCAUCCACCGACAAUCCCCCUCCUCAUCUUCCUUCCCCCAGGUGCGAGUGAUUCAAGGAAAUCCGACUGGAGGGAACACACGCUGCGAUGCACCCUCUCCUCUUCCAUUGAGCCAGGGGUGACCUUGAGAGACUCAGGCCACCUCACCAGGCUCUACCAGGAACAGCGUCUACAGCUGGUAGAGAGCACGGGCUGCAGAGAGGUAAAGAUGGGGUUCGGAAGCCAAGGCUCCCCUUGUUGCAUGGGUGACAUCAGGCAAGCUACUCAACCUCUAACCCUGGCUUCCCCUUCUGUAUACUGGAGACAGUAUCGGCCCCACAGGCACUUGUGGAGCAAGUGGGUUUGAGCUGAGCUCCUCUGAAAAUCAGAGGCACACUCAGAGAGUAGCUCAGAAAACCAGGAUGUGUCAGUUUCAUUUGCUGGGAAGCAGAAGCCAAGAUAGAAUUAGAAGUGCAAUGUCUGUGAAGGAAGAAUAAAGGGAAAAGGAAACAGGAGUGGGGCAGGGGGCAGACCAAAAGGAAGACAGACAAGUGUGAGAAGGAGCCCCACAGUGCAGUGUAAGCUUAAGAAGGUGUGGAGAGGAUGGGAGUCACUCACUGGGCAGGAAUGGCCCAGCUCCAGCACCUUGCUAUGACCAGCCAGCUGCUGGGAACAGGCCAGGAAGAGUGUGGCCUUAGCGCAAACACUGGGGUGGAUCUCGAGAUGAAGGUGUGGCCGCUGGAAGCUGUCACUUCACCACUCCUCUUCUGAAGAGAGAGCUGAGCCCUGCACAUGGGAGCAUUGGUGAAAAGGGUGGUAGACGUUUAUCAGUAACCUUACUGGUUUUGUGCUCCAUCCUCCAUCUCCCAAAGUCCCCCUGACCUUGCCUUCAGCUCCAGGAAUGGCCACAUGACUCAGACAAAGCCAACCAGCCAUCCCAUUUCAGUGGCCAGUGAUGAAUGAUUCAGUGUUUACCCAAACGCAUCCAAUCAGGGUGAAUCUGAGGACAUUUGCUGGGGAGGCUGGGACACAGAUAAUCUCUUUUCUGACAGAUGGUAACAAGAAAGUAGGUAGCUGCAGGGGCUGCUGGCAGCCAUCUUGAGACAUGAAAGGUGUCCAAAUUGGGAUGAAUUCAGCACUGAAGAUGGUGGUACAGAGAAACAGGAGAUAGGGCCUUUGAUCACAUUGUUGGAUGGCUGGUUAAGCCUCUCCUGAAAUCCAUUCUACUGCUGGACUUUACAGUUCAUAAACUAAUAAAUCCUCUUUACUGUUUGAA